GUGAACGCUGGCGGUAGGCCUAACACAUGCAAGUCGCACGGCAGCACAGUAAGAGCUUGCUCUUCCGGGUGGCGAGUGGCGGACGGGUGAGGAAUACAUCGGAAUCUACUUUUUCGUGGGGGAUAACGUAGGGAAACUUACGCUAAUACCGCAUACGACCUACGGGUGAAAGCAGGGGAUCUUCGGACCUUGCGCGAUUGAAUGAGCCGAUGUCGGAUUAGCUAGUUGGCGGGGUAAAGGCCCACCAAGGCGACGAUCCGUAGCUGGUCUGAGAGGAUGAUCAGCCACACUGGAACUGAGACACGGCCCAGACUCCUACGGGAGGCAGCAGUGGGGAAUAUUGGACAAAGGGCGCAAGCCUGAUCCAGCCAUACCGCGUGGGUGAAGAAGGCCUUCGGGUUGUAAAGCCCUUUUGUUGGGAAAGAAAAGCAGCAGGUUAAUACCCCGCUGUUCUGACGGUACCCAAAGAAUAAGCACCGGCUAACUUCGUG
RNAcentral lists this ribosomal RNA (491 nucleotides) under uncultured bacterium. RNAcentral's name for it is "partial 16S ribosomal RNA". It matches the Rfam family "Bacterial small subunit ribosomal RNA", at positions 29 to 507 of the family's 1533-position model. The record is from RNAcentral.